RNAcentral lists this ribosomal RNA (586 nucleotides) under uncultured bacterium. RNAcentral's name for it is "bacterial SSU rRNA". It matches the Rfam family "Bacterial small subunit ribosomal RNA", at positions 103 to 707 of the family's 1533-position model. The record is from RNAcentral.
CGGGUGAGUAACACGUGACUAACCUACCUUCGAGUGGGGAAUAACCUCGGGAAACCGGGGCUAAUACCGCAUAACAUCAUCGGGUGAAAUUCCUGCUGAUCAAAAGUUUUUUGCUUGAAGAGGGGGUCGCGGCUGAUUAGCUAGUUGGUGAGGUGAUGGCUCACCAAGGCGAUGAUCAGUAGCCGGCCUGAGAGGGCGCACGGCCACACUGGAACUGAAACACGGUCCAGACUCCUACGGGAGGCAGCAGUGGGGAAUUUUGCGCAAUGGGGGAAACCCUGACGCAGCAACGCCGCGUGGAGGAUGAAGUCCCUUGGGACGUAAACUCCUUUCGAUCGGGACGAAUAAUGACGGUACCGGAAGAAGAAGCCCCGGCUAACUUCGUGCCAGCAGCCGCGGUAAUACGAGGGGGGCAAGCGUUGUUCGGAAUUAUUGGGCGUAAAGGGCGCGUAGGCGGUGCGGAAAGUCUUCAGUGAAAUCUCUGGGCUCAACUCAGAGUCUGCUGGGGAAACUCCCGUGCUUGAGUGUAGGAGAGGUGAGUGGAAUUCCCGGUGUAGCGGUGAAAUGCGUAGAUAUCGGGAGGAAC